GGAGCUAACGACGCUAGCGACUAUUGCUAAGGACUCUUCUGAUGACCAGAUCCAACAACAAAGCAGGUUGAUUCAGCUCCUCCUGGACUCCAGCUGAGCUCUGAGAGUGUGAACGAGUUCAUCCGACGAGCCGGGUCCGUUUCAUGGCCAAAGAAGGGGUCAAAGGAGCAAGUCUGACUUCUCUACAACACAGCAAACAUUUGGAUAACUGCUCAAUAUUCACACUGAUUUUAUUCAUGGGCUUUUGACAGUGUUGACAUUACAUUUCUGCAGAUUUUUACCCCAGAGACACCAGAGAAUACUCAGACACGCAGAAGAAAACUUCACACAGAAAAGACCCAGCUGGGAUUUGAACCGCCCAUCGCUAAUCUCUACUCUCUUUUUCAUAAACACAAGUGAAGAAUUAUUACCGGACUUCUUUUUGUGUGGAUAUAUUUCACAAAAUAUGUUGUACUUUAUGUAAUAAAUUGCCUGCUUUUCA
Long non-coding RNA from Oryzias melastigma (Indian medaka), 481 nucleotides. RefSeq lists it as uncharacterized. The transcript has 2 exons. The record is from RefSeq and is a predicted model, not a curated record. NCBI's taxonomy places the organism in Eukaryota, Metazoa, Chordata, Actinopteri, Beloniformes, Adrianichthyidae.